This is an RNA transcript of Triticum aestivum (bread wheat), 2199 nucleotides long. It is a transcript of the gene named heterogeneous nuclear ribonucleoprotein 1, with no coding region annotated. The record is from RefSeq and is a predicted model, not a curated record. The transcript has 5 exons. Lineage: Eukaryota; Viridiplantae; Streptophyta; Magnoliopsida; Poales; Poaceae.
GCAGGACCGCACCCCGCACGCGCCCUAAAAUAUCCCGAAGCCGAAAUCCCCCAAUUCCCCUCUCUCUCUCCCUCUCCCCAUCGCCCCCCUCCCGCACCCGAGCGCGAGAGAAUCCGAGGAGAGGAGCGGCGCAAGGAGGCGGUGAUGGAGUCGGAUCAGGGCAAGCUCUUCAUCGGCGGCAUCUCCUGGGAGACGACGGAGGAGAAGCUGCAGGAGCACUUCUCCAACUUCGGCGAGGUCUCCCAGGCCGCCGUCAUGCGCGACAAGCUCACUGGCCGCCCGCGGGGCUUCGGCUUCGUAGUCUACGCCGACCCCGCCGCCGUCGACGCCGCCCUCCAGGAGCCCCACACCCUCGACGGCCGCACGGUCGAUGUGAAGCGGGCGCUCUCGCGGGAGGAGCAGCAGGCUACCAAGGCGGUGAACCCUAGCGCAGGAAGGAACGCUGGAGGUGGUGGCGGCGGCGGCGGCGGCGGCGGCGAUGCCGGUGGUGCUAGGACAAAGAAGAUUUUUGUGGGCGGACUGCCCUCCAGUCUGACAGAUGAGGAGUUCCGGCAGUACUUCCAGACCUUCGGGGCUGUCACCGAUGUUGUGGUGAUGUAUGACCAGACAACACAGCGUCCCCGGGGCUUCGGCUUCAUUACCUUUGACUCGGAGGAUGCGGUUGACCGUGUGCUGCACAAAACCUUCCACGAUCUUGGAGGGAAGAUGGUAGAGGUGAAGCGUGCUCUGCCCCGAGAGGCGAAUCCUGGCUCUGGCGGCGGCGGCCGUUCCAUGGGAGGUGGGGGUUUUCAUAGUAACAAUGGACCCAACUCCAAUGCUAGCAGCUAUGAUGGCAGAGGCGAUGCUAGCAGAUAUGGGCAGGCGCAGCAAGGCAGUGGUGGCUACCCAGGUUAUGGUGCUGGAGCUUAUGGCAGUGCUCCAACUGGGUAUGGAUAUGGGCACACCAAUCCUGGAACUACAUAUGGAAAUUAUGGGUCUGCAGGGUAUGGAGCUGUUCCUGCUGCGUAUGCUGGGGCUUAUGGCAAUCCAAGUGCUGCUGCUUCCGGUUACCAGGGUGGCCCUCCAGGCGCUAAUAGAGGACCCUGGGGCAGUCAAGCUCCGUCUGGUUAUGGCACUGGGGGUUAUGCUGGCAAUGCAGGCUAUGGUGCAUGGAAUAGCUCUUCUGCUGGUGGGAAUGCACCCACUAGUCAGGCACCUGGUGCAGCUGCAGGUUAUGGAAACCAGGGCUAUGGUUAUGGUGGAUAUGGAGGAGAUGCAUCAUAUGGUAAUCAUGGAGGGUAUGGUGCUUAUGGUGGCCGGGGAGAUGGUGCUGGAAAUCCUGCUACUGGUGCAGCCUCUGGGUAUGGUGCUGCUGGAUAUGGAAGUGGGAAUGGAAACUCUGGAUAUCCAAAUGCGUGGACUGAUCCUUCACAAGGCGGGGGAUUUGGUGGUGCAGUCAAUGGAGCUUCUGAGGGCCAAUCAAAUUAUGGCAGUGGUUAUGGUGGUAUGCAGCCUAGGGUUGCUCAGUAGAAGAGGCUGUUAUAAUGUUCAUGGUGUGAACCAGUGCAUUUGGGCAGCAUAUGUAUUAUUGCGGUAUUCUGGCUUUGCUCUCGUCUUCCUGAAGGCCAUCCAUUCUGCCGGUUAAAUCAGUAUUUCUCCUGGUUGCAUGUGACGCCAUUCCGUGUAAAGCAUGUCCAAGUGAGGGUGAAAAUGAUAUUGGAAAUCUGCUGAUUUUGCUUGAUGAGCUGAUGAGAAGUUGCGAUUUGAAGCAUUGGCACAGAAUGCAAGCUACUUGCUUUUUAUGUGCUUCAUGUUCUUGAGGAUCUUGCUGUGCUGCAAGGUGGUGGUGCAUUGACCCAAAAGUACAUUAAGCUGGAGACGUGAAGUUUUCACUUGUCACAUAUAUAAAGUAACACGAGACUUUGGAGAUCGCUGCUUGACCCCAGACGAGCUCUAUCCAGAACAAACAACAAUUCUCUCAUGGAUCGACUGAAAUAUGAGUCUGAUUUACUGUCAAAGAUGGAAGGUUGCGUGACUUGAUGGUAUUAUUAUGCUAGUAUAUCUGUGAUGUCAUUUGGAAAGCUGUGCUGUCAUUUUAUCUCCAAUGUAUUUUGGACACUUCGCAAUAGUCUAAGCCAACUAUUGCAGUGAUUCUUUCCUCAAAAAAAAAAAAACUACUGCAGUGAUUCAGCUGAAAAAUUCAAGUUUUAAGUUUGAAAA